AAUACAUAGGUAUGCAAGGCGAACGCGGCGAACUGAAACAUCUAAGUAGCUGCAGGAAAAGAAAUCAACCGAGAUUCCCAAAGUAGCGGCGAGCGAAAUGGGAAGAGCCUGUACGUGAUAGUCGGACUGAUAGAAGAAUCCUCUGGAAAUAGGAACCGUAGCGGGUGAUAGUCCCGUAUUCGAAAUCAGACCGGUGAUACUAAGCGUACGACAAGUAGGGCGGGACACGUGACAUCCUGUCUGAAUAUGGGGGGACCAUCCUCCAAGGCUAAAUACUCGUAAUCGACCGAUAGUGAACCAGUACCGUGAGGGAAA
The sequence is a ribosomal RNA, 315 nucleotides long. It matches the Rfam family "Bacterial large subunit ribosomal RNA", at positions 161 to 512 of the family's 2925-position model.